Molecule: long non-coding RNA, 851 nt
Organism: Misgurnus anguillicaudatus (oriental weatherfish)
Lineage: Eukaryota; Metazoa; Chordata; Actinopteri; Cypriniformes; Cobitidae
Source: RefSeq, a predicted model, not a curated record
GGUUCCCUAUUGGUCAGUUUGAAAGAUUAUUUGGUUCGCGAUUGGCCAUCAUGGCUGUACAUCAAAUCUUGCGCGUCCAAACCGUUUACCCUCCCCCUUCGUUUGCGGAUAGGUUGAACAGCAUGCCUCCGAAUCAGAAACAAAAAGAGGCCCAAACGACAUCUAAGAUGUCCCAGUUUAACUACAAAAUAAGUUUUUGUUGUUGUUUCUUUUGAACAUAAGUUUAUAUAAUCAUACAUGUUGUUUAUAUUAACGAUCGCAUAGGUACGGAGGCUUGAGAGCAUCAAAAGCAUUGAUUUUACCACGAUAUACACACUGCAAUGUGACCAAACUUGCUAGCAAUGGAGUCUCCCUGAUAUUUAGCUACAUAAAGGACAUUUCUUAUUCCUUCAGCCCCUGGUUGCAGACUCUGGAAUCCUCUCUGCUCAGCAGUUAUUGAAGUGAGGAGAAGGUACAUCUCCAUGGCAACCAGUGGUGCAGACACGUUGAAAAGCUGUCGUCUCUUCUGGUGUCUGCAGAGGAGGAUCAAAGCAAAACUCGCAGCCAGAGAGAGAGAGAGAUUUUGGGGUGAACUAGAGGACGCCGUCUUUGUAGCAAACCAGGGUAACCCAGUUGCCGCUGCAUUGAAGGCAGUAUAUUUCUCUGUAAACAUAUUCAAUUAAGACAUCAAACUUCAAACCGUACGAUGAAAAAGAAUGUCAAUGAGAGAAAAGAGGGUUUGGGGUCAUACUGAGCGCUUCUGCGUCUGUUCUCGGAUUCAAAAGCAGACUUCUUUUGAUGAAAUAAUCAUCGCUUGGUAGAAGUGCAAGUUGUGGUCGAGACGCGCACGGAGAUGCAGCUGAAAUUUAAUG